RNAcentral lists this long non-coding RNA (377 nucleotides) under Lathyrus oleraceus (garden pea). Its description in RNAcentral is "Pisum sativum (pea) long non-coding RNA (PSAT_LNC042257)". Lineage: Eukaryota; Viridiplantae; Streptophyta; Magnoliopsida; Fabales; Fabaceae. The record is from RNAcentral.
AUAAGUUGGGGAGAACGAAAAAGAGAAUCGGUAAGUGCCACAACUCUUGAAAAACCGAGCAAGCAUUGAAAAAAAUAAAAAAUUAGAAAAGAGAAACAUCUGUUUUGUGAAUACGAUGUGAAAAGAAAAGAAAAAAAUAGAGAAAAUGAAAAUGAAUGCUUGCUUGGAAGAAAAAUAGUGAAAAACAAAAAUUGAGUUGUGAAAUAAGAGUUGUGAAGGUUUCAAAUGAGAAACAAAGGGAACGAAGUUGAGAUGUGUAAAUAACAUUUACAGUGAAUGUCUCUUUUGCAUCGGCAAGUUCGUUUUCAAUGGCCUUAGAAAUGACCCUUGUUUGUAAACCUAACCAAGCUACAAUCGAAAAGUCCUUAGUGAUCUUC